RNAcentral lists this long non-coding RNA (5127 nucleotides) under Gossypium barbadense (sea-island cotton). RNAcentral describes it as "long non-coding RNA (GBAR_LNC007093)". The record is from RNAcentral. Lineage: Eukaryota; Viridiplantae; Streptophyta; Magnoliopsida; Malvales; Malvaceae.
UUAGAUAUUUCUCAUCUUCCUCACCCAAGUUUGGUAGCCAUAGUUGCAAGUGAGAAAAAAACUUUCUCUUGCUCUUUAAUUAUUAUUUCUUCAAAUCAAACACAAGUUUCACCCAAACCACAAACUUUUCCAAUAAAGUAGACGACCCUUUUUUAAGCUCAUCUCCUUUAUUAUCUUCAUCAUUCAAGCCUAGGUUUUCAUAGGCUUAGUGAGAGAAAACUUGAGGCAGUCAAAGAAAGCUUCAAUCAAAGUAAGAUACGGUAUUUUUUUUAUCUUCCAAGUGUUUACUUAGGAUAUUUUAGAAGAGAAGUGUUAGGAAAUGUGUAUUAAUAUAUAUUGUUUAUAUUUUUGGUAUAAUAAAUGUUGAUGGGUGGAUAAAAUGUCUUUGAGCAGAGGAAUUAUUGGAAUCAAAACUUGAGAGUGAUUGAGUAAGCUUUGUUUUGGAAUUUUUUCCUUGAAAAUAAUAAUCACCAUGGAUUUCUUAACUUUCCUUUAAUAAAUCAAUUUUGAAAAAUUGUUCAAAUUAAUGAAUUAAAGUUUUGUGAUGAGUUUGUAAGCUAAAAAUAUAAGAAAUAUUUUUUUAAAGCCAUGGUUUAGUAAGAUAUACUAGUUUGGACAAAUUAAUGGCAUUUAUGGAACUUGGCUUAGUUACAUGAAAUGAGAUGAAAAAAUAGUAUGUGAAUUUAUGAGAUGGUAUCAUGUGAUAAAAAUAGAUUAAUGGACAAAUAUUAAAUUAAAAGUUGUGGUUCAAUAAAACUAAAUGAGAUUCCGUGAAAAAGGAGAAACUUCUUAAUAAAUAAAGUCUAUAUAUAUAUAUAUGAAUAAUGAAUGGUUACUUGAGUGAAAUACGUACGUGGAAAUAUUGUUGAGAGCAUUAAAUGCUUGAAAACCUUAAUAAAAACAAAUGUUAAGUGAAGUGAGAUUAAAAAAUGUAAGAUAAUGAUGGAUGCUUGAAAAGUCCAAUAAUGAAAUGUUUUUUAAUUAUCCAAUAAUGAAAUGUUAAUAUGUGCCUUAUAUCAUUAAAAUAUUAUUAAAUUCUAUUUAUAUGAAAAACCAUGUUAAAAGUGCAAUGUGAUUUUAUUAUGAAAUGUCAUAGUAAUUAGUGAUUAACGAAGAUAUAAAUGGCAUAUCAUAGGAGUUUGUAAAUUCUACUACCUGACUCGAUUUAUCAAAUCCAAAUAUAGGAUGUCACAAUACCUACAUACUUAAUAAAAAAUUUUGAAAACUGGCGAAGACCCUACUAAACAUGCCUUUUAUUUGUUUAUUUAUUAUUCUAAGCCAAAGAUUUUGACUUAAGAUUACAACAUAUUCUCAAAUAUUAGUAUAAGUCAAUCUAACUUAAAUAUUUAUUGAAAUAGACUCAAUCUUAGCGUAUAAUACUAUUCACCACUUGAAAACAUAUUCCCAAAAGUGUCCUUUGCAUAUUGCUAUUCAAACUGCCACCUUGAUGCAUUCCUGGCUUGUUUCAUCCAUGCCUUGGUUCAAUAACAAGAACUUGCAUUACACAUAGACUUCCGCAAUUUCAACAGAAUUUAAUGAAUCUCAACCAUCAUUACCUUUAAGUGGUGUUUUUGAAAUCCUCGACUUAAGAAUUCUAGACUUCCUUUUUCACUUUUUAUUGAUACUUUUUUAUUCCUGGUGGAUAACCAUAAGCCCAUCUCCACCCCUUUCCACCUUAUACACAUUCCGCUCAGUUGGCGGAUCACAAACUUAAGUCUUUAUUUCGGACCCUAUCUCAAAAAUAUUUUUUAAGAUAGAAGAUGGAUAUAUUCCUUGGAAUGAUAUGCGCGCAGCUGCUAUCCAUUGUGGAUUCAUAAACUGGCUCUAGCAUAUUGUAAGGUCUGUAGUCACACUAUACCUAUAAUUUAGUCCAGUCUAACGAACUUGGUCCGGUAAAUACCAUAUUCAUGAUCAUACAAUGGAAAUACAUAUGAUUCUGAUACAUAAUAUGAGAAUUUCCAGGAUGGACGGACAUGUAUACCACCCUAAGUUUCGGAUAUGUUAGGGUCUCUACCUUGGUUGAUCACUAAACUGGAUUCACUAGUUAGGUACACUACGAAGAUUCUCCUAUAGAAAAUGCCACAAAGGCAUACUCAGAUCGUUGCUACAAAAUGGAACUAACAUCUCACACUUAAGUGUUACAAAAUUCACCUUACAGGCUUCCCGGAUGACUUGCCACAAAGGCUUCCAAGAUGUCUUGCCAAAAAGGCUUCCUAGAUGUCUUGCCACAAAGGCUUUACAAAUGAUCUGCCAUAAAGCUUCCUAGAUGACUUACCACAAAGGCUUUACAAAUGAUCCACCACAAAGGCUUCUUAGAUGUCUUGCUACAAAGGAUUUACAAAUGAUCUGCCACAAAGCUUCCUAGAUGACUCGUCACAAAGGCUUUACGAUGAUCCACCAAAAAGGCUUCCCAAAUGACUCACCAGAAAGGCUUUACAGAUUAUCUGCCACAAAGUCUUUACAGAUUAUUCGCCAUAAAGGCUUCUCAGAUGUCUUGCCAUAAAGGCUUUACAGAUAAUUUGCCAUAAAGGCUUCGUAGAUGACUCGCUACAAAGGCUUCAUAGAUGAUCCGCCAUAAAGCCUUCCCAGUUGUCAUGCCAAAAAGGCUUUCAAAAUAAUUCACCACAAAGGCUUGGUUUGGUUUGCUACCAAGACACCAUAUAAAAUGCCCUGUUUGAUGACAUGGAUUUUUCCUAAACUCAGCAUCACCUGAGGUUUUCCCAUCAUCUCCCUCGGGACACGUAAAAACACUAAUAAAUAAUUACGGCUCAUCUGCCAUUCCUAGAAUGUGUCAUGACCAUGGUCUUUUCACAUAUCUUUCAUACUGAUGUUUUCUCACUUUUAGUGUCCCAACAGACCUCAUGUUUCUGAUCCCGACGGACUACAUUUCACCAUAUUGGCCUUCAUGUUUACUUUCCCAGCGGGUGUUAUCAAAGCACCAAUGCGGGGUCUAUUAUUGUAUCAAAUACUUUCCCAACACUCUACCUAAACCCUCUUAUCACCAACCAUACUUGGUCAUCCAUCACUAAAAUAAUAUAAUAAACACAUUUACACAGAUUUCACUCAUUUUCUUAUCAGAAUAAUACUUCCUAAUACUUGAUUUCCCAUGCAUGCUUACCACACAUUGUCAUAUUCAUGCAGCACAUCAUACACCCUAUUACAUACAUACCAGUGCUUCACAAAACACACACAAACAUAUAUGCAUACUGUAACUCCUGAAGAAGAUAAGUGUAACAGCCCGAUUUUGAGCCUAGUCAGAACAGUGGUUUCGAGACCAUGAAUCUGACAAAUUGAAAUUUGCUUUUAUUAUAUUUUUAUGGUCUACAGUUUUAUGGAAUGGUUUGGUGAAAAUUUUGUUUGAAAAUUUUGAUGUUUGAGCACUCAAUUUAGCAAAAAGGACUAAAUUAUAAAAAGUGAAAAAGUUAAGUUCUACAUGCUAGAGGUGUCUAAUUGUUAUGAAAUUUUAAAUUGAAGGUCCUUAGAUGUAAUUUGACCAUUUUUAAGUUAGUGGACAAAAAUUGACAUGAGGUAAGAGAAAUUUCAUGUUUUAAGUUAGGGGAAUUUUGGUCAUUUAGUAUUUAAAUGAAUUAAAAGGCAAAAAUCAAACCAAAAACCUUGUCCAUCUUCUCCCACUUGUGCUGAAAAUUAGAAGGAAUACAUAGCUAGGGUUUGGCCAACUUUCAAGCUUGAUUGUAAGCUCGUUCUUGCCCAGUUUUUAAUGCUCUUUACAUUUUUGAAGUCGUUAUAACUCGAUCUAUCUAUUUCUACCAUUAAUUUGAGAAAUUAUUACGGUCUAGGGUAUGAACCAUGUAAGAUAUAUGUGUAUUUUGAUGUCUAAUGGUAGAAAAUUGUGUUUGGUGUAUGAUAAACAACUUUUGCUAGGUGAUUUUUGAUGAAAAUGUCAAAAGGACAAAUUUGUAAAAAGGUUAUAAAAUUUGUGUAAAAGUGUGAUUAAAUGAAAAUUUUGGGUUGUUAUAUGUAUAAAAAGGUUCGACUAGGCAUUGGAAUCGAAGAAAUUGAAUCUAUUUCAAUUUACGAGCUUAGGGACCAAAAUGUAAAAAUGUCAAAGUUUAGGAGCAAAAAUAUAAUUUUGCCAUAAUGGUUUUUGAACUGAAUUGAGUAAUGUGAAUAACAAAUGAGUUAAAAUUUCUAUUAUAAAUCAAGAGAAAUGAGGUUCAGACCUAGAUCGGGGGAAAAGCAAAGUGUUUGACGAUUAGGUCCCAUUUCUACUAUUUUUUGUACCAAGGUAAGUUCUUAUGUAAAUAAUGCAUUGUUUUAAUUAUUUUUUAAAUGCUUUAAUAUUGUAUGAAUUGUGAUUGACUCAUGGACGUAUUCCACAAAGUUACGACAAGUGUGAAAUUCCGGUUGAACCUUAGGAAUAGAUAGGAUACAAAUGUCAUGACAUUAGGGUUACUAAGUCUAUGUGUAAGACCAUAUCUGGGAUAUGGCAUCAAUAUGAGACUUCGUGUAAGACUAUAUCUGAGAUAUGGCAUCGAUAUAAGAUUUCAUGUAAGGCCAUAACUGGGUUAUUGGCACCGAUAUGAGAUUACAUGUAAGACCAUAUUUGGGAUAUGGCAUUGGUAUGGUACCGUGUGUAUGGGACUUCCGAGUAUCCUUUAGUUUUCCAAGUGGUUCAACGGGUAAUUUAAUGAGUAUUUCAAAGGUGAAUUGCAUGCAAAUCCAAUUCGAGAUGACUCAGGUAUGUACGAAAAACUCAUCUCGUUAUGUGAUGAACCCUUAGUAAGGUUAUGAUUAAGUUAUGACUAUAAGAUCUCAAUAAUAUUUAUGCCAAUUAUCAUCAUGUUAAUUGAGAUGCCUAUUAUUUGCAUGGGAACUUACUAAGCUAUAUAACUUACUUCAUUUUUCUUUCCUUUGUCUUAUAAUGUCACCAGGCUAGCUCAAGGAUUGGAGAUUGUCGGAGAUCCACUCACACUAUCAACUGAUUAUUUUGGGUACCAAUGAAUUUAACAUUUUGAGUUAUGGCAUGUAUAGGGACUUGGUUAUUUUGUUAUGUGUCAUAAUUGAAUUGGCCAAAUGUAUUGGCCUAUAUUGGUUGAUAAUUCAUUUUGUAAAUGGCCAUAUGGAAUUGGCUAAUAUUGGCUUAAGUAUAUAUGCAUAUGAUGAGGU